Molecule: long non-coding RNA, 1030 nt
Organism: Ruditapes philippinarum (Manila clam)
Lineage: Eukaryota; Metazoa; Mollusca; Bivalvia; Venerida; Veneridae
Exons: 3
Source: RefSeq, a predicted model, not a curated record
GGGUAAUCUGUGUUUUGAGAUGUUCCCCAGCUUUCCUGUGUUUUAGUCCAUAUUGUUUAUGUAAGAGUGCUUUCCCCUUGACUUUGGCGGGAAUUUGUACGUGUCUCGUGAAUCUCGUUUUCAUUUCGUUCAGUGCGUUGGUUGGUAGCCAUUGAGAGAGGAAGGUCUCUCUGUUCAGAAGUUGUGAUGUUUUUUUACACUUUAACAUGUUUCUUUUUGGUUGGAAACAGUUCAUCUUUGUAUAAGCAGCACUCGGUGAGAUUCAUUUGUGUGGAUUUGUGUGGAUGAUGGCGUAUAUCUUAUUUGUGUAAAAGGGCUAAAGAUCCUACAGAUCUUGCCUACCUUGUUCACAUGCUUAUAUGAUUACGUAGACUGAUGGUUGGUUUACAAGAUGUACCGGUAUACUUUGUGAAUAUGUCAGAUGAACUGUUGUAAAUAAUGUAAAGAUUUGGUUUGUCAAUAAACUACAUAUGAUCGAACCUGAAGAGAAGAUUUUGUAUAUAUUGAUACCCCUGAAGAGAUACCCAAAAUUACAAUGGAGCCCCCAGUGAUGUAGUUAACUAGCGACAAGAUCCAGAUCGAAGAUUGACAACAUUGACUUUUAUAAACUGUUACAGAAGUGAUAUUUGUAUUAAGUGAUUCAUUUUGGACACUGAAAGGAGUUGUAUUAUUUUGUAAUGCAACGGUGAAUUGAAUUUAGUCUACAACUAACAAAAAAUUAUUAUUUUAAGUACUGUAAAGACUAUAUUUUAUAAACAAAAUGUUUUAAGUAAUCCAACACUUCACAGCAAACAUUUUUUUAUAGAAGAUUAAUUAAUAAUUUUCAUAAAUAUUGAUAAAUAUUUGUGCUAUGCAAAUUUGACAUGUCUUUAGUGUAGGAAAGAUUAAUCAACCUUUGACAGAGGACACUUUUCGAGACUUGGAACACAUCUGGUUAGAAGAUCAUCAACAGAGGAUUAUUUGUAAAGUGACAGUGUGUAAAGACAUUGACUGUGGUUAGAUAAGCAGUGGUCCUCUCUGUGCAACUGUA